RNAcentral lists this transfer RNA (73 nucleotides) under Phrynosoma platyrhinos (Desert horned lizard). RNAcentral's name for it is "tRNA-OTHER". Lineage: Eukaryota; Metazoa; Chordata; Lepidosauria; Squamata; Phrynosomatidae. The record is from RNAcentral.
GGCCAGAGUGGUAUAGUGGUUUGAGCAUUGGACUAUGACUCUAGAGACCAAGGUUUGAAUCCCAGCUUGGCCA